AGCGAACGCUGGCGGCAGGCCUAACACAUGCAAGUCGAACGAACCUUUCGGGGUUAGUGGCGGACGGGUGAGUAACACGUGGGAACGUGCCUUUAGGUUCGGAAUAACUCAGGGAAACUUGUGCUAAUACCGAAUGUGCCCUUCGGGGGAAAGAUUUAUCGCCUUUAGAGCGGCCCGCGUCUGAUUAGCUAGUUGGUUGAGGUAAUGGCUCACCAAGGCGACGAUCAGUAGCUGGUAUGAGAGGAUGAUCAGCCACAUUGGGACUGAGACACGGCCCAAACUCCUACGGGAGGCAGCAGUGGGGAAUCUUGCGCAAUGGGCGAAAGCCUGACGCAGCCAUGCCGCGUGAAUGAUGAAGGUCUUAGGAUUGUAAAAUUCUUUCACCGGGGACGAUAAUGACGGUACCCGGAGAAGAAGCCCCGGCUAACUUCGUG
RNAcentral lists this ribosomal RNA (434 nucleotides) under uncultured bacterium. RNAcentral's name for it is "partial 16S ribosomal RNA". It matches the Rfam family "Bacterial small subunit ribosomal RNA", at positions 29 to 507 of the family's 1533-position model. The record is from RNAcentral.